RNAcentral lists this ribosomal RNA (410 nucleotides) under Tiarinia alidae. RNAcentral describes it as "partial 16S ribosomal RNA". Lineage: Eukaryota; Metazoa; Arthropoda; Malacostraca; Decapoda; Mithracidae. The record is from RNAcentral.
CAUAAUCAUUAGUUUUUUAAUUAAAAACUUGUAUGAAAGGUUAGACAAAAAAGUUUCUGUCUCUUAUUAAAUAAUUGAAUUUAACUUUUAAGUGAAAAGGCUUAAAUUUUUUAAGGGGACGAUAAGACCCUAUAAAGUUUAAUAAAAAUAAUUUUUUUUUAUGAAAUAUAAUAUAAAGUAAAGAAAAAUAGUUUUAUUUUGCUGGGGCGGUAAAGAUAUAAAUAGAUUAGUAACUGUCAAAAUUAAAAACAUUUAAAUUAGUGAAUAAAUAAUGAUCCUAAAUAAAGAUUACAAGAAUAAAUUACUUUAGGGAUAACAGCUUAAUUUUUUUUAAGAGUUCAUAUCGAAAAAAAAGUUUGAGACCUCGAUGUUGAAUUAAAAAUAACUUUGCAGUGCAGCCGUUGUAUAAG